This 279-nucleotide ribosomal RNA is filed under the name uncultured bacterium. RNAcentral's name for it is "partial 16S ribosomal RNA". It matches the Rfam family "Bacterial small subunit ribosomal RNA", at positions 506 to 784 of the family's 1533-position model. The record is from RNAcentral.
UGCCAGCAGCCGCGGUAAUACGGAGGGUGCAAACGUUGCUCGGAAUCAUUGGGCGUAAAGCGCACGUAGGCGGCCCAAUAAGUCGGAUGUGAAAGCCCUUGGCUUAACCAGGGACGUGCAUUCGAAACUGUUGGGCUUGAGUACAGGAGAGGGUCGCGGAAUUCUCGGUGUAGAGGUGAAAUUCGUAGAUAUCGGGAGGAACAUCAGUGGCGAAGGCGGCGACCUGGACUGAUACUGACGCUGAGGUGCGAAAGCGUGGGGAGCAAACAGGAUUAGAUA